This 1767-nucleotide ribosomal RNA is filed under the name Triticum aestivum (bread wheat). RNAcentral describes it as "partial small subunit ribosomal RNA". Lineage: Eukaryota; Viridiplantae; Streptophyta; Magnoliopsida; Poales; Poaceae. The record is from RNAcentral.
AUGGCGGGCCGCGGGAAGAAGGGCGGGAAGGGGGCGGAGGACCUGGGCCGCGCGCUCAUACGCCAGCAGAACAGGGCGGCGGCGGCCGCCAAGGAGCGGGGCGAGGCGCUCGCCUCCUCCUCCCGCCGCCGCGCGCCGCCCCUCGAGUCCGUCAUCGACGUCAGCGAGAUCGACGCCGUCCUCCAGCGCGCCGCCGAGGAGGACCGCCUCCAUUCCGCCCUCGCCGCCGCCGCCUCCGCCUCCUCCUCCGACCUCAUCAUCGACUUGGAUGCGACGGGAGAGACAGCCGAGGAGAGGCGAAGGCUUCGGAAGGAGCAAGAGGCGCUGCACGCCAACAGCCUGGGGGUUCCAAGGCGUCCACCGUGGACUAACCGGAUGACCGCGGAGGAGCUCGACACGAGCGAGAGGCAGGCGUUCCUUGAGUGGCGGAGGAAUCUUGCGAGAUUGGAAGAGAAUGACAAGCUUGUCCUUACACCUUUCGAGAAGAACAUUGACAUCUGGAGACAGCUCUGGAGAGUAAUUGAACGCAGUGAUUUGCUGGUCAUGGUAGUUGAUGCUCGAGAUCCCUUAUUCUACCGGUGUCCUGAUCUUGAGGUAUAUGCAAAGGAACUUGAUGAACACAAGAGAACAAUGCUCCUUGUCAACAAGGCUGAUCUACUACCUUUAAAUAUCAGAAAAAUAUGGGCAGAUUAUUUCAAGGAGCACGAUAUUCUUCAUGUUUUCUGGUCUGCUAAAGCUGCUACUGCCACAUUAGAAGGAAAAAUGUCGAGUGGUGAACAAGGUUCUGCUUCACCUGAUAUGGAUACCAAGAUAUCUGGCAGGGAAGAACUUUUGAUGAGGUUGCAAGCUGAAGCGAAAUCUAUCGCAGCACAAAGAAGGACGUCAGCUAUGGCUAAACAUGUAGUUGCUGGAUUUGUUGGUUAUCCAAAUGUUGGGAAGAGUUCCACCAUAAAUGCUUUGGUUGGUGAGAAGAAGACCGGUGUUACUCACACACCUGGUAAGACAAAACAUUUCCAGACAUUGAUAAUCUCUGAAGAGCUCAUGCUGUGUGAUUGUCCUGGUCUGGUCUUCCCUUCAUUCUCAAGCUCAAGGCAUGAGAUGGUGUCAUGCGGUGUCUUGCCGAUUGAUAGGAUGACAAAGCACCGGGAAGCUAUCCAGGUGGUGGCAGAUCGUGUCCCAAGAGACGUCCUGGAGCAGAUUUACAAGAUCACCUUGCCAAAGCCAAAGCCAUACGAACCACAAUCUCGGCCACCGACUGCAGCUGAGCUGUUGCGGGCAUACUGCGCGUCUCGGGGCCAUGUCAGCCAUGGCGGGCUGCCUGACGAGACAAGGGCUGCUAGGCAGAUACUCAAGGACUACAUCGACGGCAAAAUCCCACACUACGAACUCCCUCCUGGUGUUGUCACAGACGAUGAAGUAGAAACAAGAGAAUCUACUGUUGCAGCAGCAGAAGGUCCGACUGCUUCAGCAGUUGACGAAUCUGGCAGUGACGACUCCGAUGAACAGGAUGAUAUGACAGGAGGUCCAGACAUGAGGCAGCUCUUGAGUGACCUCGAGUCUUUCGACUUGGCCGCCAGCGAAGGGUCCAAUGCCACUGGAAAGAAGAAGCAGCACCAGGCAUCACAGAAGCAGCACAGGAAACCCCAGCGGAAGAAGGACCGGUCCUGGAGGGCUAGCAACGAUGGCAGCGAUGGGACGGCGGUGGUAAGGGACUUCCAGAAGCCCACCGUCAGUCAUCCCACGGUCAGCGUGGAUGGAAAUGUCUAG